Molecule: long non-coding RNA, 1424 nt
Organism: Lolium rigidum
Lineage: Eukaryota; Viridiplantae; Streptophyta; Magnoliopsida; Poales; Poaceae
Exons: 2
Source: RefSeq, a predicted model, not a curated record
AUGGGAGGAGACGAAGAACUUCUACAGAGCUGUCACCAUCCGUCUUUGGUUGGACUGAAUAUUGUCACUGGUUUGGCAAUGGAGUUCUCUUGCAUGGCAAGGAUGUGACCAACUAGAGGUACCGCUGUCCUCUGUUGGAUUCAAUAUUGCCACUGUUUUUUUCUCUCUAGGCAAGGAUAUACUAGAUCAAGCAUCAUAUCAUGUACACCAUAAGCUUAAUGUCUACUGGUUGGAUCAUGCUUCUGUUUAUGAGCUCAUUGAAGUAACCAUCUCCUAGCUUAAGUGGUCCAAUUUUUUGAUUUUAUGAUACACAAAACCUUCAGCUAUCCAUUUCCGUAUCAGCUGGUCUCUCUUAAUUUUGUAAUCCUCUGGAAAUAUGCUUAGAUAUAAUAAAUGAUGUGAAGGUAGGUCAUAGAACAACAACAAACACCAUCUUUAGCCUCAAGAAAGUUGGGUUAGGCUAGAGAUACAGCACAACAGGGCCACACACUCACAAUAUGAUAAGUGCUAUAUAUCUAGUAAAGGAGGUUAUUGGCUUGUGGGUUAUGUCCGAGUGGCAAUCUAGAAGCCAAUCCUCUUUUACUAGUAGUUUUGAUUCACCUUCUCAUCUCUAGGGUUAGUUAUUAUGGCUAACUAUGUUUUGAGAAGAUUAUAAGAUUAGGCAAGGUCACUUGAUCCCGAAGUGGAUAGCUGAAUGUUUUGUUUAUCAUUAAAAACAAGAUAUUAGACUAUUUGAGCUAGGAAAAGGUUACUCAAUGAGCUCCUAAUCAGAAGUAUGAUUCAACCAAUAGACAUUAAUGUUGAUGAUGAAGGCUUGAAAAAAUCAUAUUGUGUAUGUGGUAUGGUGAUUGAUCCAACAUGUUCUUUGCCAAGUGAAGAAAAUUUUGUGGUGAAAUUGCAUGGCAAUGAGCAAAGAGUGGUCCAAUCCAAUCUGAAGAUUCAAAGGUUAUCCAUUCAAAAGAGCAUGGCAGUUAUGACUAAACAGCAGCAGCUACCAUAUCACACUGGUUUCCUGCAGUUUCAUAUGUGCUAUGCCUAUCCAGUUCUGGUUAUGUGCCUAUCCAGUUCUGGUUAUGUGGACGUGGGAGUGCUAGCUGUGCUGGAAUUUGCAUAUUGUGCUGCAUUGCUUCCAUCUUGAGUUUCUGACUAAUCAAGACGUGGUGAUUAAAGAACAACCCAUUUGCCUUGUGAUUUGAUUUGUCUUCCAUCUGCAACUACAUGAAGCUCUUGCCGUGACCUUGUAUCUUCUGCAAUCUGCUAAAACAGAACUAUAAGUUUCUUCAUGUUGUUAGGCAGUGUGAAUCAUGAUGUACUCCUGGCUGGUUUGCUGGCUUUGUUUUCUUGCUAGCAGCUUUCCGAGUCUGUAUACCCUGUGCAAUGAAAUUAUUGACUUCCAAUCUACAAUCUUGCACAGCUUUUCCUUC